GGUGAACGUUGAGGCGAGAGGACUGUACUGCCUCAGCUCACGUAGUGAAUUGGAACCUACCCUCACAUUGUGUGCUUCUGUGGAACCUACUGCUUGAUAUAGUGCUUCAGUGGUGCGACAAAGGAGUUGCCGAGGAUUAUACACUCCCUGAAGGUGCGCGACAACACUCUCCUUGUGUGUUGAAGGUGUGUUUAUAUACCAUGAAUGAGCCAGGUGGUAGACUAUAGUUCACCUGGUGAUGAUGACGUCAGUGAGGCAGUAUGAGGAGAACUCACGGUAGUUGGUACUGACAAAACCACAACACAAGUUACAGUGAUUUUUUUAGUGUAAACAAAGUGAAUUGUUGAAGAGAAAAGACCAAGAGUAAACGGGAGGACGUGUAGGGUGAGGAGAGGCCCCCCUCUCCACCAGCAUGUAUCCUGCGGCCAUGAACGCCGCGGUAGCUGCGGCUGCCGCAACGCGACACCCCGUCAGUCUUCCGGGACCCCAGCCUGGCCAGCCCUUCAAGUUCACCGUUCCGGAGUCUUGCGAUAGAAUGAAAGAAGAGUUCAACUUUCUUCAAGCACAGUACCAUAAGUAAGUCGAUUUCUUUCACCUGCUUUC
This is a long non-coding RNA of Homarus americanus (American lobster), 603 nucleotides long. RefSeq lists it as uncharacterized. The record is from RefSeq and is a predicted model, not a curated record. The transcript is spliced from 3 exons. NCBI's taxonomy places the organism in Eukaryota, Metazoa, Arthropoda, Malacostraca, Decapoda, Nephropidae.